RNAcentral lists this ribosomal RNA (254 nucleotides) under uncultured bacterium. RNAcentral describes it as "partial 16S ribosomal RNA". It matches the Rfam family "Bacterial small subunit ribosomal RNA", at positions 524 to 776 of the family's 1533-position model. The record is from RNAcentral.
UACGGGGGGAGCAAGCGUUGUUCGGAUUUACUGGGCGUAAAGGGCGCGUAGGCGGCCAGCGCAAGUCAGUUGUGAAAUCUCCGGGCUUAACUCGGAACGGUCAACUGAUACUGCGCGGCUAGAGUGCAGAAGGGGCAACUGGAAUUCUCGGUGUAGCGGUGAAAUGCGUAGAUAUCGAGAGGAACACCUGCGGCGAAGGCGGGUUGCUGGGCCGACACUGACGCUGAGGAGCGAAAGCGUGGGGAGCGAACAGG